CAUUAUUUCAUAAAAGCAAGGUCAUAUUAACACAAAAAAUAAUAGGAAAAUCAUGACCUUAGAAUGAAGGAUGCUUCUUCACAGAAAGGUCUUUACAACUUCCACAUUUGUACGCACAUGCGUUGGCCCAGGUUUCUCAUUUGCCCUCAAGUCGCAGAGUGGUCCUAGAAUGUAAGCUCCGCGGGGUGCCUGGGAGCCUGUGAGAUCACAGCUCUGGCCACUGGGGAUCCCUGGCAACCAGAACCCGAGGGAUGCCCCUCCGAUGCUGCCUGAGGCCCUCCCCAUCUGCUCUCAGUUUGGGAUGGCCCCCUCCUCUGAAACAGGAUGUGCACACGUGGGCCACAGCCCUAAGGACUCCUGACGGACCACAUAGCCCACACCUGGCCCUGCUCAUGGCUGUUCCACCCACCCCUCCUUAUUCUGGAGCAUAUCAGGGAAAGAAGAGUUGAUGACAGAUUGCCUUCACCCUCGGCGCACAAAUAAAGCUACGAUGCCAACUUUGCAGAUGUAAUAAAUAAAUAAAUAAAGUAAGUAGAUGACUAGUUGCCUAGGGUUGGGGGAGGGGCAAUGGGGAAUGAUUGCCUAAUAGAUAUGGGGUUUCCUUUUGGCAUGAUGAAAACAUCCUAAAAUCAGAUAGUGGU
Molecule: long non-coding RNA, 641 nt
Filed under: Rhinopithecus bieti (black snub-nosed monkey)
Lineage: Eukaryota; Metazoa; Chordata; Mammalia; Primates; Cercopithecidae
Description: lncRNA (ENSRBIG00000046208.1)
Source: RNAcentral